Molecule: long non-coding RNA, 403 nt
Organism: Lycium ferocissimum
Lineage: Eukaryota; Viridiplantae; Streptophyta; Magnoliopsida; Solanales; Solanaceae
Exons: 2
Source: RefSeq, a predicted model, not a curated record
AUCAAGACCUUUCUCCAAAUCAUUCCAAAGUUUAUAAUAUUAUAUUCUUCUAGAAAGUGCAGCAGUAAAAAAAAAAAAAAAUGGUCGAAAUUCUGAUGAAGUCUGCUUUCUUUGUUGCUUUGUUGCUGGUCACCAUGGUUGCAGAUAUUCCAUCCUUUAAGGUUGAAGCAAUUCAUGAAUGUGAUAAUCCACAGGAUUGUGAACCACAUUGUCCUAUAUCUCUGGCACCUGUUUGUAUUGCUCAUAGAUGCAGUUGUUGGGCCAAGAAAAAGAUGGAAGUGGCUACUACACAAGGAGUGAUAAAUCCCAAAAAUUGAUGUAUUUUAUUGAAUUGUAGUACUAAAAUUGAUAUGUGGACUCUGAGAUCUUGAGUAAUAAAUACAUCUUGCAAUAUUUAUGAAUU